This is a long non-coding RNA of Hibiscus syriacus, 1740 nucleotides long. RefSeq lists it as uncharacterized. The record is from RefSeq and is a predicted model, not a curated record. Lineage: Eukaryota; Viridiplantae; Streptophyta; Magnoliopsida; Malvales; Malvaceae. The transcript is spliced from 4 exons.
CAACUCAAAGUCUCAUCUACUAAACCAUUUUUUCCUCUCAAAUCUCAAAAUCACAAAUCACAAACACAAAUCACAAAUCACAAUUUCAUCUCUAAUUCAACAACCACGACAGAUGCUUCUAGUGCUCCUGAUUCUUCUUUUCGAAAUUCCGUGAUUGAGGAAUUUAAUGUGAAUGUUGAUGAUGAGGUGGAGAUUGACGAUGUUGAGAUAGAUGAUAAGGUAGAAAAAAUGGAUCAAGAAAUGCCUCCAAAUAACACUCAAGGAACCACCCAAGAAGAUAAUUCUGAUGUUCCUCCACGUGGCCCUUUUAAGAGAGCAAGACAAUCUGAAGUUUGGAAAGACUUGGGAAACCCUGAAAUGAUAUGCAAUCAGUGGAAAGUGAGAUGUUUACAUUGCAAGGAACAACUAAAAGUACUUAGUUCUGGAAGUACUACUCAUUAUAAGCGCCACUUGGAUAAAUGUCCACAAAAAUGAAUGAUGUUACGACAACAAAAUUUAAUUAACUUCCUUCCAUCAGAUUCAAGUGCUGGAUCACCUGAUUCUUCAUUUGUUAGUGCUUUGCAUGAUGACAAGUUUGAUGUUUUAAAGUUUAGAGAAGGCAUUGCUCAUUGGAUUGUUAUGCAUGAAAAUACCUUCUUAGUUGUUGAAGAAGAAGAUUUUAACUUGAUGUUGAAACGAGGAAUCCCACAAUGAAAAAGUGUGUCUCGUCAUACUAUAAGAAGUGUUGCUUUCAAAACUUAUGAGAUUGAGAAGAUAAAGUUAAAAGAGUUGUUAAAGAGCAUAUAUGGAAUUUCAUUAACCAUUGAUCUAUGACGUUCAAGUCCGCAAAAGAUUGAGUAUAUGGUUCUUACUUCUCACUUUGUUGAUCGUGAUUGGAAACUUCAAAAGCGAAUAUUGAGCUUUGCUCACAUACCUCCUCCUCGAAAAUGCAAAGACAUUGCCAAUUGCAUAUUCAAAUGUUUAAAGGAGUGGGAUAUUGAAAAUAAAGUUUUCACAAUUUCGGUGGACAAUGCAACUACAAAUGAUGUUUUAUAGAAAUUUUGAAGGAUACUUCUCAUUGACUAAGAGAUUGAUUUGUGGUGGAAAUUUGUUCCAUGUUCGUUGUUGUGCUCACAUUUUGAACAUUAUGGUUCAACAUGGGUUGAAGAAAGUGAAAACAAUAAUCAAGAAUGUUCAUGAUACUGUUGAUUACAUCAAUGGCAGUGAGCAUCAAUUGAAAAAGUUUGCAGAACUUGUUGGACAAUUCAACAUAAAGCAUAGAAGGUUGGUUAUUGAAUGCAAGACAAGGUAGAACUCAACUUAUGACAUGCUAGCACGUGCAAUCAAAUUUAAAGAGGUUUCUCGAAGAAUAUCGGGUGCUGCUCAGUGUUAGAGUCGGAGAUCUGGGGUAUCUUUUAGGGCUUGAGCAUGUCUUGGGAGUUGGAUAGGAGGAAGUUGAUUGUAGAAGUGGACAGUAAGAAGGCUCCCGCAGAGGUGAACGACGAUCCAAGGUUUCAUGGCGUUUUUUCGCUCGUUCUCCAUAUAUAUUUGUGAGCUGCUGCAGAAAGAUUGGGAGUUGAUUUUCAGAUUUGUUCCCCGCGAGGUUAACUCUACAGCCGAUCAUCUUGCGAAAUUGAUAUGGAAUCUCCCUAUUGGUCUUCAUCGAUUUCCGAUUGCUCCCCCGAGUGUUGCAGCUGUGGUUGACACGAAUGUAGAAUAUGAGGUCUGUGCAUGGUGUAAGUAGGUUGGGUGCAGCUAUAU